This is a long non-coding RNA of Sceloporus undulatus (fence lizard), 1940 nucleotides long. RefSeq lists it as uncharacterized. The record is from RefSeq and is a predicted model, not a curated record. NCBI's taxonomy places the organism in Eukaryota, Metazoa, Chordata, Lepidosauria, Squamata, Phrynosomatidae. The transcript has 5 exons.
CUCUUAUGAAAACAUGUCUGCUGCAGCUCAGUUGUUAGCGAACUGAGUGACUGAAGCAGAUGACAUUUGAAUACUUCCAUGUGAAAAUGAUGCUGGGUUUGCUUACAGAUAUGUGACCACUGUUGGAAUAACUCACUUUAUAGCAGAAGUUCACUACCUUACCAGCUGAGGACACCUUCCUUGUGCACUGCAACUUUGCCAAUGUGGAAAAUGUGAUGGUAUCUUUUAUUGCCUCAAAGUGGUUAUACGGUUAAAUGGCAAGUACUUCAGGAAAUCUAAUCCAUUUCUUUUCAACUACAAGGAUCCACAACUACUUAUGAAACAAUAGCAGCUAUUUCAGGGAGAAAAUGAGAAAACAAUUCCAGCUGCAGAGAGAAGAGCUCUGCCAUUCCACAGAACUUUUUCCCCCACCUCAUUGCUAGCUCUUAGCAGGGAGAGGGUGAGCAGACCCACCCACUUCUAAUCCGAAAAAGUUUCUUCAUUCUGUUGAUCCUUAGAGAACACUGCUAACCUUCCACCUUUUCUAUACUUCAAAGGCCUCUGAUGGGGCAUACAUAUAUUGUCCUGAUUGUCCAACACUGCUGGCAUAGAAUGGCAUAUACCACAUUGGAGGAAGAGCAAAUAUAAAUUCACUACUGAUGUUGUAGGUAAUUGGCCCCUGUAAUAUUGCUUACAGAGCAGAUGUAGGGACUGAAUUGGCAUCUUGGUUUGUGUCAGGGUCUUGCCCCUGUAUUACCAUCCAUGUUAUGUAUCUUAUUAUAAAAGAGUAGUUUUUUAAGAUCUGGAGGCUGUCCAUAGGUCAAUAAAGGCCUGCAAGAGACUAACAAAGCUACUUCUUUGAAUGUUACUUUACUUGUUAUUGCUGAGUUAUGGAAAUCGCUAACAUUAUACUCAAAUAAUUUAAGGUCAAAUGAGUAACAUGUUACAAUUUCUAAGGAACAUUCCAUGCUCUGGUAUCUUUAUUUUCAAGGAGCUCAUGUAGUGGAACAUCACAUUUUUUUCUCCUCCUAGCAAUUAGAAGUGAGACAAUUGGCUCAAGAACCUCAUCUACAGAAUAACAUAGAUCAGAUUACAUUCACGCUUCAGGUUCAGACCUUUAUGUGUGAAGGAGAAAAGGCAGUGUAAUUUACAGUGUAUAAUAAACCAAUCAAGUAUGCAGUGGCAAAGCUGUGCCAUUUAAAAUAAGAAAGAAAGAUACACUAUCAAAGACACAACCAGUCAUUGUGGUAUGUUUGUGAUGACACUUCCUGAUUUUGAAAAACUGAGGAAGUAUUCAUCAUGAUCACACAAAGUACUCAUUUUGACUGGUUUAUCUUCAGUUGUCAAUGACAGUUUUCAUAUGAAAAUGCAUGAUUAUUUUUUCUAUAGAAUAGCAUUGCAGUUACCUUAUUGAGAAGAGUAACAAUAUCACCUUCUUUGAUUGUCAGCUCGUCUUCAUUCUGAGCUUCAUAUGGGAAUAUAACUUUGCAAUAUUCCUUUACUGAAAGGGGGAGAAAAGGUUGUAUUUUAAUAUAGUGUUUUGUAAAACAUUCAUAUUUUGUGAAAAUGAAUAUGCUUCCUCAUGUUUAUCUAUACAACUGACUUCAGAAAUAGUAUGAAACUUUAAAAAGCUUUGCAAAAUAACUGAUAAUGAAAAACAUAGAUUUCUGUAGAAACAGUAGCUUUGUAAAAUACUCUGGCCGGAAAUAUUCCAUUAAACUAUUUUAAUUGGAAGACUGUGCUCAUUUCUCACUCACAGGAAGGGAGUGAGAAGGGAUCCCCAUAGGGAAUAAGAAACCUUUCUGUUUUUUCCAUGGCACUAGGUCAUUAAGGCAAACGAAAGCACACAUUAUCGUUUUUAAUUUAAUAGUUUUAAGCACAUAAACACAUUACAUUUUUAAUAAAUAUUAUAUUAUUACAAAUCCUGCAGCUUUUAUUUUUUCUUUGGAUCCCUAGGGAAG